CUGCUUAAGUGAGAAGAAAGAAUACAUUUCUACUUUGUUUUUCUUUUUUGACAGCUAUCAGAUUAUCCCCUCUAUGCAGUGUAUGUACCUGACUUGCUUUAAAAUUAUUUUACUUCACUCUGUAUCAGGUGAGAUACAGCACUGCAGAUCUUAGUGAGUAAUUUGCCCUAAUGACAAGUUAAUUGGCAUGUUUAAAUACUAACAGCUGCUAAGUUGUUAGCAGUACUCAUGGGUUUGUGUUUUCAAUGUUCAGUGAUGCCAGGAACACCUUUCAGGUUUGAGCUGCUGGAUAUUCCAUCAGGAAGCAACUCCAUGGCAGGAAAUUUACUGAAGAGAUCCCAAAAAAUAGAUUUCAUUCUUCAGGUUUUUUCCCAGGAAUUUUCAGCGCUGGGGAUGAACUGGUAUUUUCUACGUAACAGCCUUGGCUCCUUUCAUCUGGAGAAACUGACCAAGGAGCCUCCCUUGCCCCUAAAUGGUUUCCUUGAAUUUUGGAUAUUGCAUGUACUUUGAUGCAUUACAGCAUUCAAUGGAGUGGCUGCAGCCAUUCCUGAGACUGCAUGGUGAAUACACAAAAAAAGGACUGUGCAAGCAUUCCCAUUCUGUUUUACUUUACCUUUUCUGGUUGUGGAUCUGCAAGGCAACACAGCAGCUUCUGCAUCUUUCAGAUGCUGAAGUGUAGAAAUAACUUGUCAUUUCUGCGAUAUUAUGUGGGAGAAAGCAAAGGUACCAAAUACGAACAGCAGCAGAGAUGUGCUAAGCACAGGCACAUCUGGCAGUGCCUCAGAGUUCCAGGCAGCAUCUCCACAUUUUCUUUGCAAUCCUAUUUCCACAGGAUUCGAAGCUCUGAGAUGAUGGCCAAUAACCAGUGGCACCUAAUUGAACUUCAGGCUACUGUAUUACAUUGGGGGGAACGUGACAGUAUCUCCUACUUUUGCUUUUCUAGCCUGGCAGGCACUUCUAGUCUUUCAGACUUCCAGCUCUGCCAGAAAAUGUGGCCACUAAUACACACCAGUUGCGUUAAAUUGGAAGAACAAUCGCCUCAAGUGUUUCAAGCUGAAUUUGAAAUGCAAAAGAAUUAACCCCAAACCACAACUAUCUUUUGGAAAAGUAAAUAAGAAAACAUCCUCUCAGUAUGGUCAUUUUUCUGCUCUGAGGAUGAAUUUGUCUGAGGGUGUAAUUAAUUAUUUUGCUUUUAAUUUGUUUUUUUGUGGGUUUGUUGUUUUUUUUUUUUACUUCUUGUGGGAUCUAAGUACAACUUCUGCAACACUUAAUAUUCCUAUUGAAAACUUCAUUAGAUUAAGGAAUUUUUUGUAAGUAAUGGGGUUAGUUAUCACCUCAAAUACACUAAUAUGUACCAUUCACAUACAGAGGGUCUGGUAUUUGAACAGGAGAAAUCACAGUUUUACACUAGACAUGGAGUAAGUGAAAUUGUAUGAUUUGUGCUGACCAUAAGCACUUCUCCAAAGCAUGUGAGCAAUUAUUCAAGGGGUGUUUCUGCAGUGUAGAGGUUGUCCCAUCUGCCUCUCAAGCAAACAUACACUGGUUGGUAAUGGGGCAGAAAAAAGUUAUUUCCAAAUUUAUCAAGUUGGACUCAGUGAUUUUAAGGCUCUUGUCCACCUUAAAUGAUUCUAAAGUAGAGAAAGCUCAGGUUCAUCCAUUGUCACCACACAAGUGAAAAUUACUCUAUUGGAUCUGAGUUCUGCUUUGGUAUGGUUGAUGUUUACCUAUGUUCUUUCUCCUUUUUGUGUAAUCUCUCACCCUAAAACCCCACAAUUAUUGCUGCAGAAGAGCAAACAUCUUCCCAGAAAUAAAAUUCUAUUAGCAAGCUUCA
Molecule: long non-coding RNA, 1831 nt
Filed under: Cyanistes caeruleus (blue tit)
Lineage: Eukaryota; Metazoa; Chordata; Aves; Passeriformes; Paridae
Description: lncRNA (ENSCCEG00000017240.1)
Source: RNAcentral